RNAcentral lists this ribosomal RNA (118 nucleotides) under Pteropus alecto (black flying fox). The record is from RNAcentral. Lineage: Eukaryota; Metazoa; Chordata; Mammalia; Chiroptera; Pteropodidae.
GGUGGCAGUCUACAGCCCUGAACACAUCUGAUCCCGUCUGAUCUUGGAAGCUAAGCAGGAUCGGGCCUGGUUAAUACUUGGAUGGGAGACCACCUAAGAAGACCAGGUGCUGUAGGUG